Molecule: long non-coding RNA, 733 nt
Organism: Dipodomys spectabilis (banner-tailed kangaroo rat)
Lineage: Eukaryota; Metazoa; Chordata; Mammalia; Rodentia; Heteromyidae
Exons: 6
Source: RefSeq, a predicted model, not a curated record
CGACUCCUUGGCUCACCCUGACUGCAUCUCAGAUAUUUUACUUCUUAGUUUGCCACCUCUGUGGGAGAAGCAGUUCUCUGCCUCUGUCAACAUCUUGGUGUUGCUCUGCUGUUUCCCAGUGUCCUGGACCACAGGAGCCCCCGGAGGAGAAAAGCAGAGGUCUUCAGGACAAUCUGCCUUCUGCUCACAGACCUGCGUAUGCACACCAUGCAGGGUCCUCAUCGCAGGCUGCAAAUACUUCUGAGGCCAAGAAGUAUCUCAUCUCUGCAGCUGGCACUGCCUUUCCUGCUUCUGCCUGUGGCUGCAGUCAACUGGGAACGACUGAUAAGGAGCAGGGCAACUGAGGCACAGAAGUCAAGAAACUUCGCAAGGAUGUUGUUAGACUUUCCUUGUCUACAACAAGUGACGGAGAGAAACUGUUUCAAGGAGGAAAGGAGUGUUUUGGCUUGCUUCCGGCCUCUUCAGUCCAGGCUUGGUGGUCCUCAGGAUGCUGUGGAAGGAGGCACGGGCCCUGUCUGGUUCUUCAGGACUUGCUCCAGAAUCGCCACCUUGGCCAUGCCUACAAAGCAUGUGCUGACAUGCUGACACAGGUGUGGAUGUGGCUUCCUGCAAAGAGAAGAAUGAAUUGCCAGUGCCCUGGUUGGUUGAGAGAGUCAUGAGAAUGUGAUGAGAAGAGCACUAAGAAUUCUGAUGGCCUGUGGUGUGAUGGACAUCUGGCUGUCACUGAGCCGCC